GUCAGACUUUUUUCUUUUGGUCCCCCACCCCCGUUUUGAAAUUUUGUAUUUCGUUUCCAUAUACAUCAAGAUGUUUGAAACUUAAAAAAAGAAUAAUGUUUUUCCUAGAAGACUCUGCUAGAAAAGAAAAGGAAAAAGGAAACAAAAACCCUACGGGCGCCGUCCCCAGGAGCGCCGAGAUCGCCGAGUUAGGAAGCCCGGCCAGUGCCUGGGAAGUGUGUGGUCCCUCUUAACUGCUGCCAGCUGAGGAGGAGAAGGCCACGUUUUGCUUAGGUUGUGUCAGCAUCAUCGCUUACCAUCCUGGUCAUCUUCCAUGGGAAGGAGGAAGGGGAAAUUAGAUUCCUUGAGAGAAGGUGAGUUAUCCCCUUUUAUGAUUCUACUAUGGAAAUUCUUCUGAAGAUGUAAAAGGAG
Molecule: long non-coding RNA, 411 nt
Filed under: Suricata suricatta (meerkat)
Lineage: Eukaryota; Metazoa; Chordata; Mammalia; Carnivora; Herpestidae
Description: lncRNA (ENSSSUG00005017188.1)
Source: RNAcentral